Molecule: non-coding RNA, 2908 nt
Organism: Cricetulus griseus (Chinese hamster)
Lineage: Eukaryota; Metazoa; Chordata; Mammalia; Rodentia; Cricetidae
Source: RefSeq, a predicted model, not a curated record
CCACAGCCAUAUUGCACAGGCUCCACCCUCCAUACCUUGUCCCGGACCCGGUGGGCUGGGUGCUGCUUCCAGUAAGGGAGCCUUACUGUAAGGCUCAUCAGUUCAUCUGUAAAAAAGAAGACGAGCGAGCGCCGAUCCGGUACUGAUUCCCACGGGCCCACAGUCCAGCACAUCUAUUGAUGCUAAGCCAUCAAGUGGUACUCUGGUUAUCCGCCGUUGAUAGAAAGAGGACCAGCAGUUUCUUGUCCGGAAAUGCCUUCUUUCAGUCUCCCUUCCCUAAACCCUUAGGCUUGGUACUGAGAGACAGGCAAACACCUUCAACAGCAGCAAAAACAUAUAUAAUGUGAUGAGGACUUCUGGCCACCAUGUAAUCUCCACCAUGAUAGUCUAUAUACUCAAACUGUGUGCCAAAAUAAGCCCUUCCUCCUCCUUGCUGCUUCUGUCAAGUAUUUUUCAGAGAAACGAGAAAACUAAUAUGUCUGCUAUGAGUCAGGUAUUCUUCAAGGUCACUUUCACCUUGAACUCCUUCAUCUCAAGAGCAGACUUCCAGAUUGCCCCAAAGAGAAAGAGGGCUGGAGGCUGGUCAUCAACAACUAAACAACUUCCACUUCCAGACUGCUAGCCAGAACUGGUCACACAGGUGCAGUCCAACUGCAACAGAGACUGGAGCAGGGUCUACAUAGCCUUAACUGGCCUGGAACUUGCCAUGUAGACCAGGCCAGCCACAAACUCACAGAAAUCCACCUGCCUCUGCCUCUUGAGUGAUGGGCAUAAAGGGCUGCACCACUACACAUGGCUGAUAUUAGAAUUUUAGAUGUCGUUUAGCCCUUGGGCAGAGACCAGCUGUGCCAAGCCCUAACUCUGAGUAGGAAUUUUGUCUUCUGAUCUCUUGGGACUGACCACUGAAGAUGAGUGAGACCAAGCAAGGUUCAGAAGCCCCUAGAGCCAUCACCAUCACCAUCACCAUCAUCAAGGCUGCACAUUGGGAUCUCACUGUUGUAGCUCAGACUGGACUUGACCCCACUGUGCAACCCACACCGACUUCAAACCCUGAAUCCUUCUGCUCCAGUGUCUCAAGUUCUGGGGUUAUAGAUGUACACAACAAAAACUUGGCUAUGAAAGCUUGUUUUAUUUUUAUAUAUAUUUUAAGGUUUAUUUAGUUUUUUUAUGAGUAUGAAUAUUUGUCUGCAUGUGUGUAUGUGUACCAUGUGUGCCUGGUGCCCAUGGAAGACAGAAGGGGGUGUCAUAUCCCCUGGACUGAAGUUAUAGAUUGGAAUUACAGACAGUUGUGAGUCACUGUGUGGGUACCAGAACUGAACCCAGGUCCCCCACAAGAGCAGCAAGUGCUGGAGAGCCAUCUUUCCGUGAACACUCAUUUUAACCAGAUGAAUCAGAUGUUACCUGAGCACUGACCAGGCCUCCAGCUCCUUCCUCUGGCCACACCAAUGCACCCAUGACCUCUCCGUGCUGUGGGCCUUGCCUUUUCUCUGAUCAGGGGUGAUGAAUGCUUAGUUUGCCUGGCCUGGCUCACCCACAACUGCUGGGUCUCCUGCACGCUCUCCUAGUCUCAAUGGCCUCUCAUCCACCUGGAAAUCCUCCUGCUUUUGACCUCUCCUGUGAUUCUUGUGUUAAGCUCCUCACUUCCUUGGGUUUAUAGCCCCUGUCCUUGUUCAGGCCUCACUAGGUCUAUUGCCUGGAAUUUAUCCCCAGUUCCUCAACUGGUCUCUCUUGAGAAGCCACUGGUUCAGAUCGCCCCUAUAUAACCCUCAUCUCCUUCCAUGGCCCCUGGCUCUCUUUGUGUUGUUUAUUUCCCAGAACUGCCUUUCUGGUCCCCCAGCUCUUAAGCCCUUCCUAGCCCACUGUUCUUGAUGCAAUCCCGUGAACACUGCCAGGCUCGUUCUCAUUAUCAUUUCUCCAAUCUGGUGUGGAAUAUUACUUUAACUAUGUAAAGAUGUGUUACAUUUGUUUAUGUUGUGGAAUAUUUAACUGUGUAAAGGUGUGUUACAUUGUUUAUGCUGCAUUUGUUUAAAGAUGUAAGGAUGUAUUGCUUUGCCUGCCUAAAGCACUUACCUGACUUGUCUAAUAAAAGCUGAAGGGCCAAUAGCUAGACAGCAGAGGGAUAGGCAGGGCUGGUGGGCAGAGAGAAUGAGUAGGAGGAAGAAUUUAGACAGCAGAAGAGAACAGGGAGAAAGAGGGAAAUGCCUGGGGCCAUCCUGAUAGACCUGGAGGAAGCAGGAAAGUGGGACAAACAAAACUAAAGAAAGGAAAAAAAAUAAAAAAAACCACCCUGAGGCAAAAACAUAGAUGAAGAGAAACAGGUUAAAUUAAGUUAUAAGGGCUAAUGUGACAAGCAUAAGAUAAGGCUGAGCAUUUAGAACUAAUAAUGUCUCUGUGUUAUGAUUUGGGAGUUGGUGGUACAGAAGCCUGCUACACCAAUCAGACCUCUUUCCUCUGUAUUCCAGGGCACAAUACAGAUAACUAGUGUCACUUUUCUUUCCAAUCUACUGUCUAAACCAGGACAUUUUGGAGAAUUUAAAGGAAAUGCUAAGAAUUGCUUUUGUUUAGCAGGUACCCAUUGUUCUGUUACAGACCAACUGGUAGGUGUGGUUACCCUGUUCUACCCAAUGUCACUGUAAAGAGUGGCAUUUGGUACUCCCAUGCCUCUCAUUCGUAUUGCUAGGUAGCCCUGUGAGGUGGUAUUGCUAUCAUUUUCCAGAUGGAAGAUGAAACCUCAGAGAGCUGGAGACCAUGGACAACACAACCAGGUGGCAAAACCAGUCCAGGAACCCAGAUAUCUAAAUUCUGGACUCUUCUACACUUAGUGUUGGGGUCUAGACAUAGGACAUGUGCUACCCUGAGAUGAAAAGGACCUGUAGAAAUGGAGGCUUACCAAAAAAAAAAAAAAAAA